This 373-nucleotide unclassified non-coding RNA is filed under the name fungal sp. Its description in RNAcentral is "partial internal transcribed spacer region". The record is from RNAcentral. Lineage: Eukaryota; Fungi.
AAGUCGUAACAAGGUUUCCGUAUUGAACCUGCGGAAGGAUCAUUAACACGUAUCCAACGUUAAACAACCCUGUGAACUUUCAGACGCUCUUGUAGCCCAGGCGGAACAGCAAUCCCGGUAAAUCAAUGGCGGAAAAGUUUUUGAUUCGGGACCUCUGUCCAAUGACGAGCUAGAGCAGUGGCAUGGUUUCCCUCAGCAGAGCAAAAAGAUCCACUGAGUAAGGAUAACGCAUCAUGGUUGCCAGAGGUCGAUCACCGGCCGGCAGACAUGUCACAGGGCGAGAUGCUUCAUUCACCCCUUGCCUAAAACUAGCCCCGCGGAAACGCUGGGCACAAAAACCGAACAACUGUUAACAAAGGAUAUCUUGGUUCUC